RNAcentral lists this long non-coding RNA (800 nucleotides) under Homo sapiens (human). Its description in RNAcentral is "HSALNT0327932". The record is from RNAcentral. Lineage: Eukaryota; Metazoa; Chordata; Mammalia; Primates; Hominidae.
ACUGACACACCGCCGUCCGCGGGCUGAGCUUCAGUGACACCGAAGGGCACUGGCCAACAUGUCAAAACAGUUUUGAUUCCAUGAACCAAAGGGCGCACAAGGUCUAUUGCAAGCUCAGGUGAAGUCGUGGGACUCCAAAGGUAGUGGCUUUCUUGCUGCUGGUCGAUUUGCAUUACAGAGGCCGUUUACUUUCAAUUCCACUUUUACAAAAGUAGUCAAGCUCUGUAUUUCACAGGAAAUUGCUUUGGAGAUGAGGAAACAAACUCUUAUGGAUUCUCUUCAGAGGACAAGAGAAGAUGUUACAUUCUCUGCAUGAGGACAAUUCUGCAGCAUCAAAAUCGAAUAAUAUUUGUUUUCUGGCAGCAGAAUUUUGUAUCAUAUUUCUAAAGACAGUAAGCACUUGGGUGGACGUCAAUGAAUACUAAACACUAAUUGAUCUGAUACAGCCGUAUGCACAUACACAGAUAUACAUGGUGGCUUGUAAUGGUUGAAAAAUUACGGUUUGGUUUUAUUAAAAGAUCUGUCACUUUUAGGUCAGAGUGGGAUUUUGGAGGGAUAGUCUCCCACAAUAGAAAACUACCCUGACAACAGUGGUGUUUUGAGGUUGUUUGUUGUUUGGCUUCUUGAUGAUGCUUAGCUAAGGAGACACUUCCUUUCAGAUUCUGUCUUCCAAACCCCAGGGCUCUGUUCUGGGCAGUUCAGCCUAAUGGAAUUAAGCCUGACAUGUUUCAACUCUAUUUCUUGAUAAAAUAAACAUAAAACAAUGGUUUAGAUUUCGAAUAAAACUCUUGAAGCAUGGG